UGACUCCCACGAUGGCUUCUCU
RNAcentral lists this unclassified non-coding RNA (22 nucleotides) under Mus musculus (house mouse). Its description in RNAcentral is "oocyte_clustered_small_RNA11344". Lineage: Eukaryota; Metazoa; Chordata; Mammalia; Rodentia; Muridae. The record is from RNAcentral.